RNAcentral lists this ribosomal RNA (491 nucleotides) under uncultured bacterium. Its description in RNAcentral is "partial 16S ribosomal RNA". It matches the Rfam family "Bacterial small subunit ribosomal RNA", at positions 28 to 507 of the family's 1533-position model. The record is from RNAcentral.
GAUGAACGCUGGCUACAGGCUUAACACAUGCGAGUCGAGGGGAAACGACGGGGAAGCUUGCUUCCCCGGGCGUCGACCGGCGCACGGGUGAGUAACGCGUAUCCAACCUGCCUCUGACUGAGGGAUAACCCGUCGAAAGUCGGCCUAAUACCCCAUGGCAUCGUCUGCGGGCAUCCAACGACGAUUAAAGAUUUCAUCGGGCAGAGAUGGUGAUGCGUCUGAUUAGCUUGUUGGCGGGGUAACGGCCCACCAAGGCGCCGAUCAGUAGGGGUUCUGAGAGGAAGGUCCCCCACAUUGGAACUGAGACACGGUCCAAACUCCUACGGGAGGCAGCAGUGAGGAAUAUUGGUCAAUGGGCGAGAGCCUGAACCAGCCAAGUAGCGUGCAGGAUGACGGCCCUAUGGGUUGUAAACUGCUUUUAUGCGGGGAUAAAGUGAGGGACGUGUCCUUCAUUGCAGGUACCGCAUGAAUAAGGACCGGCUAAUUCCGUG